This 352-nucleotide unclassified non-coding RNA is filed under the name soil metagenome. Its description in RNAcentral is "partial contains 5.8S ribosomal RNA, internal transcribed spacer 2, and large subunit ribosomal RNA". The stretch from base 1 to 120 matches the Rfam family "5.8S ribosomal RNA", at positions 35 to 154 of the family's 154-position model. The record is from RNAcentral.
GAUGAAGAACGCAGCGAAAUGCGAUAAGUAGUGUGAAUUGCAGAAUUCAGUGAAUCAUCGAAUCUUUGAACGCACAUUGCGCCUCCUGGUAUUCCGGGAGGCAUGCCUGUUCGAGCGUCAUUAAAAUCACUCAAGCUUAGGUUUACCUAUUGCUUGGUCUUGGAGAUGGAAGCCAAUUUAUUGGAAUCCUCUUCGAAAUUCAAUGGCGAAGACCCUUGCUCUCCCAAGUGUAGUAAUAACUUAUGUCACUGAAGGAAGCGAGAAAUCUUCUGCCGUAACCCCCAUAUUUUCUAUGAUUGACCUCGGAUCAGGUAGGGAUACCCGCUGAACUUAAGCAUAUCAAUGCGGAGGA